GCUUUCUUUUGCUUUAAUUUGCAUAAACACAGACAUCAUAUGAAUAUUCAGUGAGUGGCUUUGCAUUAAGCAAGUGCCCUUAAUCAGCUUUUCAGUUCAGAUUUAUUGGUUGCCCACACAGUCGGCUAUUUCAUCCAGCAAAUCUGAGGGCCCUGCAAAGCUACCCAGGUAACCUGGAGUAAUGUGAUGCAGAACAUGGGAGGCUGAUGUGUUUUCUACCAUGUAGUCACCGCCAAUGAGAGGAUACUGAAUACAGAAUGUGAUUUAACUCCUGGUUAAAUCCCAAGAACCUGGUGCCAGCCAAAACCUGGGGGAAUGGAGAGAAAAGCAAUAUGCCUGGGAUGGUUUGGUUCUUAGUUUCCUUAUUUGGUUCUCCAAUGAGCAGAGGAAUAAACAGUGAACCAGACAUUGGGCUGAAUUCUGGGCUGCAAAGAUUGAAAAGAGGUGUGGUUUCAGAUGAUCUGGAGCACUCAAGCUGAUUUCCUGUGCAAAUCACAGAAUCAUGGAAUUGCCGAAGUUAAAAGGGACCUCUGAAGAGCAUCUGGUCCAACCUCCCUCCCAUGCAGGAUCACCUAGAGCAUAUCGUGCAGGAUGGCAUUCAGGCUCCCACCUUUCCUUAUCAAGUGGCUGAGGAGCUUUUCUAAAGCAGCCACAAGCAGAUCAUGUGUUUCCACCGCUCUGUUCAGCAUCUGCUUGGAUGGAAGGAAGCUGAUAGCUCCAGUGGAGCUGACUUAUCAGAGGAAACCAUGGUGUUUAACACAUUAACACGACCUGCAGAAAUCUUUCACAUGUCCACACACUGCUUUCAGAAGAUGUUACCAGGCAUUCUGGAAAUACAAGACAAAAUGCUGUCAAUGGAAUGGUGUUUUGAUGAGCUUUUUCAUUCAGCAGAGGAUGAGACAGCACCAGUGCACAGUCCCACCAGUGCAAUUUAUAGCGAAUUCAUGGGCCUAACAUGGCAUAUUCUCAGCACCGUGUCUAUUGCAUAUUAACAGUUAAGGCACAAUAAUCUGAUAUUAGGUGACAAAGGAUUGAUAUUGACAAGGAACUUUGUAUUCUACUUUGCAAGCACAGUUGUUGUUUUUAAUGAUUUUCUCAUUGUUAGUUAGUAGAAACUUUGUGAAUGGUAACUUCACUUGCAUUGUUUGUUUUCUUCGUCUGGUCUUGGCAGUUUCUGAAUAGCUGUAUUGAACACACUGUUUCUGUAAGGACACUAGCUGUUGUGGGGUAAGUGAUUGGUAUACUAGGGCUGAAGACACAGUUUCCAGCCUGAAUUGUUAGAAUGAGACCAUUUGUUUCAAAAGGAGUUCCCAUUCUUUUGACUGUUCACUCUUGGAUACAUUUUGGGUUUGUUUUUCUCAGGAAGAACAAUUUCUCUUUUGAUAACUGUACUGAUGAGUCAUCUGCAACUGCUUCACCCUUCCCACAGCACACAGCCUACGAGAAAGUCACCAAAUUAUCCUUGUGAAACAGACAUAAAUGUCUCCAGAAGCCUUUGCUUCACAAGAACACCCCUUUUUAAUGCAUGAUCAUCUUUUGUCCAGCACUUUUUAUUUACCAGGUACCAUUGCCAAGGUCCUGUCAUACACACCUUUCUUGACAUGAAAAAGAACAAAAAUGAGACUUCCCAUCUCCCUGAAGUCUGCUGUGGUUUCUGGUGGCUGAAACUCAAAGUAUCUUUAACUCCCAGAUCUGACCACUGCAGACCUGGCGGUGAUGAAAUAGCUCAACACCAAUAUGUGCAGGUUGUGUUUGAGGCACUAUUGCUUGUCUGCUUGGCAUUUCUAUGGGAUCUGUGGGGUUAUUAUAAGUUACUGAAGGUUAUUCUGCACUACUUGCUGGUUGUUGUAGGAAUCGCCACUAUAGGAGGCCAAGGAAGGAGAAAGGAUUUGACUGUAUAUCCAUUAAAAGGUGUGUAGAUCCCAAGGUGUUUGAUGGGAUUUUUUUUUUUUUCUUCCUACCAAACAAAACAAAGGACAGCCCUUGGAAUUCUAGGUCUUAGUACAGAAAUGGUGACUAAUUUGUCAUUCAGGAUUUAUGAAGGAUGUUUCCUACUUCUCACUAACAGUAAAGAAUAAAUCAAAUGCUAGGUUUGCAGACUUGAAAAUCAGUACACUCUAGAGAGCCAAUUAAACAUUAUUCACGUAUCUCAGCCCCAUAUUAAUGUUCUUUUAAAGCACACUCCAAGUCUUCCUCACAAACCAGGACGAUGGUGUUAUCAGACUAAUUUAAGGAGAGUUAUCAUUAUAGUAUGGCUUUUGCAAUUACACGGUAUACCAGGUGGCAAGACAGCACGUCUUUGCAUUGCCAGGGUGCAAAACAAAUUCAGUGUUCAAUCAACCUGAGAAAAAAAGGACAAUUCUCAUUUGCAUAAACAUGUAGCCAAGGAAACUAGAUGCACAGAGGUAUAAGGAAAAGAGACCUAUUUUACAUGAUGUGCAUAGAAUAUUUGACAGUUUAGAUUGGAGGCGUCAUUGAUGUGGGUAGGAAUGGUGCUGUUCGUUGCCAUGGAUAUCAUUUUCCCUACUGGCAGUGCAAAGAUUGGCAGGGAUGGAUGUUUAAAAAAAGACACACACACACAUGCACACACAAAAAUGCAUGCAUACCAAAAACGCCCAAACCACUGCAAGACUCUGGCAGCCUCAUUCUCUUCUUUUGUUGAAAAGCUAUGUAUCCUUCUUUUGCUAAUGACAGUUCACCUAAUAUAUGGUGUAAUCUAGAAAUAUUGAUGUUUCUAUAGUAAAUCAUUUAUGUACAAUAUGUAUUUAUACCUUGCACAUAAAGCAGCAGAUAUGUAAAGUGUUUUUUAUAUACAUAUAUUCUAUAGGAUAAAUGGAAAGACAUAGAUAUUCAAUAUUUAGGGGAAAAUAUAUUUGUCUAUAUGUAUCUCUGUUUAUACUGAGAUUCUUUUUCCUGCUUUAAUUUAUGAGAAAGCCAUUGACUUUUAUGGACACAUUUAAACUUGAACUGUGAGAUGUAUAUAUUACAGUAUGAAUAUGAGUUUGUGUAAAAAGAAAAAUAACUGAUUUUUCUUUAAUCGUUGGCAGUAGUUUUCUGAUUAGUUGGUCACUAGUUCAUAUAUGAACUAUUUAUAAUUCUACUUACCAGUAAAACAAACACAAGUUCUGCUGUCAUUUUACAAUUUCUGCCAAAUUGCCCUUCAGUGUGAUUUGAUCUUAGUACAGCCACAUUGAACCAUAUAUUUCAUGUAGCCAUGGGAGAGACUUGAUGUCAACUGCUGAUAACAGCAGGACUAUGUGGACUCUUAAAUAUCAGCGUUUUUGCCACUUGAGUGUUGAGCAUCUCAGGUCCUGAAGCAAGAUGCAAGCCAAUGCUCUCCUAGAGUCAAGCUCAGAAAAAAAAAGAAAAAAAAAAAAAAAAAAGAAAAAAAAAAAAAAUUAUUUUAGCUUUCACCUAAAGUAUUUCAAUUAACGUGGUUAAGUUCCACUCUCAAUUAAAAAUGAGCAAACUACAGCCAAAUAUAUUUUAAAUUAUUGUUCAUAUAUUCAUGGUCUUCAGGGUGUCACUAUAAUUACCACCAAGUUCUUCGUUUGAAGCAGACGUUUAGGACUUGAGAUGUGACUUUUCCAUCAUCGGUGAUUUUUGCUGUUGGUUGUUUGUGGGUUUUCUUAGUUUGGUUAGUUGUUUCGGUUGUCUGGUUUGGUUUGGUUGCAUGUUUCUUAAUAA
Non-coding RNA from Anas platyrhynchos (mallard), 3687 nucleotides. Lineage: Eukaryota; Metazoa; Chordata; Aves; Anseriformes; Anatidae. The record is from RefSeq and is a predicted model, not a curated record.